This 494-nucleotide ribosomal RNA is filed under the name uncultured bacterium. Its description in RNAcentral is "partial 16S ribosomal RNA". It matches the Rfam family "Bacterial small subunit ribosomal RNA", at positions 28 to 507 of the family's 1533-position model. The record is from RNAcentral.
GACGAACGCUGGCGGCGUGCUUAACACAUGCAAGUCGAACGGUGAAGCGCCUUCCUUUUUGGUGGGUGUGGAUGAGUGGCGAACGGGUGAGUAACACGUGAGUAACCUGCCCCCUUCUUCUGGAUAACCGCAUGAAAGUGUGGCUAAUACGGGAUAUUCUGGGUCUGUCGCAUGAUGGGUCUGGGAAAGAUAUUGUUUCGGUGGGGGAUGGGCUCGCGGCCUAUCAGCUUGUUGGUGGGGUGAUGGCCUACCAAGGCGGUGACGGGUAGCCGGCCUGAGAGGGUGGACGGUCACACUGGGACUGAGACACGGCCCAGACUCCUACGGGAGGCAGCAGGGGGGAAUAUGGCACAAUGGGCGCAAGCCUGAUGCAGCGACGCCGCGUGAGGGAUGGAGGCCUUCGGGUUGUGAACCUCUUUCGCCAGUGAAGCAGGCCUGCCUCGUUUGUGGGUGGGUUGACGGUAGCUGGAUAAGAAGCGCCGGCUAACUACGUG